GAUGAACGCUGGCGGCGUGCCUAAUACAUGCAAGUCGAGCGAACAGACGAGGAGCUUGCUCCUCUGACGUUAGCGGCGGACGGGUGAGUAACACGUGGAUAACCUACCUAUAAGACUGGGAUAACUUCGGGAAACCGGAGCUAAUACCGGAUAAUAUAUUGAACCGCAUGGUUCAAUAGUGAAAGACGGUUUUGCUGUCACUUAUAGAUGGAUCCGCGCCGCAUUAGCUAGUUGGUAAGGUAACGGCUUACCAAGGCGACGAUGCGUAGCCGACCUGAGAGGUGGAUCGGCCACACUGGAACUGAGACACGGUCCAGACUCCUACGGGAGGCAGCAGUAGGGAAUCUUCCGCAAUGGGCGAAAGCCUGACGGAGCAACGCCGCGUGAGUGAUGAAGGUCUUCGGAUCGUAAAACUCUGUUAUUAGGGAAGAACAAAUGUGUAAGUAACUAUGCACGUCUGGACGGUACCUAAUCAGAAAGCCACGGCUAACUACGU
Molecule: ribosomal RNA, 496 nt
Filed under: uncultured bacterium
Lineage: Bacteria
Description: partial 16S ribosomal RNA
Rfam family: Bacterial small subunit ribosomal RNA
Source: RNAcentral